This 74-nucleotide transfer RNA is filed under the name Pseudobutyrivibrio sp. RNAcentral describes it as "tRNA-Arg". It matches the Rfam family "tRNA". Rfam says of the family: Transfer RNA (tRNA) molecules are approximately 80 nucleotides in length. Their secondary structure includes four short double-helical elements and three loops (D, anti-codon, and T loops). The record is from RNAcentral. Lineage: Bacteria; Bacillati; Bacillota; Clostridia; Lachnospirales; Lachnospiraceae.
GUUCCUAUAGCUCAGCUGGAUAGAGCGUCCGCCUCCUAAGCGGACGGCCGCGCGUUCGAAUCGCGCUAGGAACG